RNAcentral lists this small nuclear RNA (102 nucleotides) under Myotis davidii. Lineage: Eukaryota; Metazoa; Chordata; Mammalia; Chiroptera; Vespertilionidae. The record is from RNAcentral.
GCACAUCAGAAGAGUGUGUUUCUUUUAAAAUUGGAACGAUACAGAGAAGAUUAGCAUGGUGCCUGUGCAAGGAUGACAAAACAAAAAACAAAAAACAUUUCC